GUUUAUAUAGUUUACUUAAAACAUUACAUUUUCAUUGUACAAAUAUUGAACUAUUUCAAUUAUAAACU
Molecule: transfer RNA, 68 nt
Filed under: Diploptera punctata (Pacific beetle cockroach)
Lineage: Eukaryota; Metazoa; Arthropoda; Insecta; Blattodea; Blaberidae
Description: tRNA-Glu
Source: RNAcentral